Molecule: ribosomal RNA, 96 nt
Filed under: Bacillus cereus
Lineage: Bacteria; Bacillati; Bacillota; Bacilli; Caryophanales; Bacillaceae
Description: partial 23S ribosomal RNA
Rfam family: Bacterial large subunit ribosomal RNA
Source: RNAcentral
GCGAACAGGGUUCAGAACGUCGUGAGACAGUUCGGUCAUAGCUGGGUAGCUAUGUAGGAAAUUUGAGAGGAGCUGUCCUUAGUACGAGAGGACCGG